This 1144-nucleotide ribosomal RNA is filed under the name Triticum aestivum (bread wheat). Its description in RNAcentral is "partial small subunit ribosomal RNA". The record is from RNAcentral. Lineage: Eukaryota; Viridiplantae; Streptophyta; Magnoliopsida; Poales; Poaceae.
GCCAUCAUAGUGUACAUUUGUUUUGUUCCUGGACUGAACCUACAUACAUUACAUGAUUUUCCUAAUAACUGUCAAAUCUGUCAUGAAGCUUGUCAUCAGCGUACUUUUUUCUCUUUCAUGAAAACAACAUAUUCUGCUAGAAAGGUAAAAUUAAUUAUUACAAAAUGAUUAAAAUUAAUUGAUAACAAAAUAACUGACUCUAUUAUGCAAUCAACUAAAUUCUAUACAAGAACAUGGUUUGUCAAUAUGAUCAUGGUUGGUCAAUUUUCAUGACACUAUUUCCCUCUUUUGUGGUGGCAAAUAUAAUGCAUAUGAUCGUUUGGUAAUACAGUGAGAUGAAUAGAUUGGAUGCACAAUGAUAGAGAUCAAAUAUUAUUGGAGGCAUUGUCUUCCCCCAAAAAUUUGAAGUAUGUGUUUGGAUGGGGGUGUGGGGGUGAAGCAGGAAAUUGUGAGCCAGAUGGAUCAUUGACAGAGGUGAUGAGUUUGGAUUAGAGCGGUGGAGAAAUGACAGAACGAAGGAGGAGUGAGACACCAAUUGGUGUUGAACCAAUAGAAUAGGUAGGCCCCGCUGCAACGCACGGGCAAUUAGCUAGUAAGGAGUAAAGGAGAAAGAUAUUCCAGUCAAUUGUAUUUGUUUUUAUUUUCUUUCAACCCCUCCCGUUGCCACUGACCAGUGGGUCUCUUGGGUCAGUCCAGCAUCGCAGGGACACACCAUGCGUGCCCGCAGACCCCUGCCCCUUCACCUUAUCUCCUACUCCACCCCAAUACUUCCCUCCUCACUUCAUUUCCUUUUCUCUUGGAUCCCCUUUCUCAGUCCAGCUCGCCGGGGACGCUGUUUGUUACAACGCCAGCCACAGGAAUCGGCAGGAUACGUCCGCCCUCGUUCUGGAUCGACGUCAACGCCUCCGGCUCCGACAUGCACGCCCGCUGGCCGUCGCCGUGAACCACCUCGUUUUUCCAGUGUGUUAUUUGCUCGUAGGUAGCUCCCCUAGCUCCAUUGUUGCUCCAACUUACCUUUAAUGGUGAUUCUGGGCGCUGGCGUGCAGGAACCUCUUGGACCGAGGCCCCCUUCCUCUGUUCUGCCGGCCACCGCUGUGAUGUCGUCGCGGUCAUCCUCCUCACCAAACAACGCCAGGGACCAUGA